RNAcentral lists this ribosomal RNA (362 nucleotides) under uncultured eukaryote. RNAcentral describes it as "SSU rRNA". It matches the Rfam family "Eukaryotic small subunit ribosomal RNA", at positions 592 to 956 of the family's 1831-position model. The record is from RNAcentral.
CAAUAGCGUAUAUUAAAGUUGUUGCAGUUAAAAGCUCGUAGUUGGAUUUCUGGUGGGAGCACGGGUCGGCCCUCACGGGUUGGUACUGUUGUUGCGUCCUGCCGUUUCGGAGGGAAUGGCCUCGCUAUUAAGUUAGCGUGGUCGGGAACUCUGUCGUUUACUGUGAAAAAUUAGAGUGUUCAAAGCAGGCCUUCGCUGUGAAUACAUUAGCAUGGAAUAAUAAGAUAGGACUGUAGUGCUAUUUUGUUGGUUUGCGUACUAUGGUAAUGAUUAAUAGGGAUAGUUGGGGGUAUUCGAUAUUCAAUUGUCAGAGGUGAAAUUGCUUGGAAUUUAUGGAAGUAUGAACUACUGCGAAAGCAAUU